CGUUGGUGUUCACCUUCCUUCCUCUCCGUUAACAACGUGUCGCCGGACGACGACAGUUUCUUUACCCCCCCCCCUCUCUUCCUACCGCCGCACACGUUUUGCUUUCUCCGGAGCGGAGAAGCGACAAACACCUGAGCAGUUUCUGCUAAAGUGACUGGAGCCUUGUGACAAAGACAACGCAAAAAUGGCAAAUAAAUGACUUGACUGGAGGAGAGGUGAGGAGGUGGAGGAGGACUGACAGAAGCAUGAGGGUGCAGGCAGAGGUGGGAAAACAGGAGGAACCGUGUUGAGAGUGUCCAAUCAGUGUGUGUGUGUGUGUGUGUGUGUGUGUGUGUGUGUGUGUGUGUGUGUGUGUGUGUGGGCUGGUGUAAUGAGGUGGAGACAGUUGUCCAUUACUUCCUGAGUUGAUGGGCUCCUCGCAACAGUGCGUCCACAGCUGGAGGAGUGGAGGAGGAGGAGGUGGCAGCUACAAGGAGAGAAUAUCUGACACAUUCAUAUAUUCACCCUCUGUGUGUUUGUGUCUUUGACUCCCACUCUUACUUAAGAACAGCACUAAUAAUAAUAAUGAUGAUGAUAAAACUUUAUUUAUAAAGCAGUUUUCAAAAAUGUUAUGAAUUGCUUUUAUACAGAAAGACUGGAACAUAGUUUUUUAACGAUAUUGCAAUGUAUUUAUUAUUACAAUGGUAAAAGCCUGAAUUAAAAUGAACUAAACCAAAAUUAGAAUAGCAAAAGUUCAGCUCAGUUUUUCUUUAAGAAUAUUUUAAUACAUGUUUACAAGCCAAACUCAGAAUAAAUACUGGUGAACCAAAUUUAAAGGAAAACAUUUGAUUUUCUUCUUCUCAAUAUUCUAAUAUAAUAUUCAAAUAUGCUCAAUAUAUAAUCAAUAUAUUGAUAAAAAAAAUAUGAAUAAAUAUAAAACUUCUAUACUAUGUCCAAAAUAAUCAUUAACAAAUAUGUAAUCAUAAAUAAACUUAACCAAUUGCCAUUAUUAUUACCACCGGUUCUAGUGUUCUGGUGUACUGCAGUUCUGCAUGCUGUUUGUCCAAGUAGAGUUGCUGCACUGUCUCUCUAUUUCAUUACUUUCAAAUGUAUUAAAAAGUAGAAAACUAGA
This is a long non-coding RNA of Sebastes umbrosus (honeycomb rockfish), 1111 nucleotides long. RefSeq lists it as uncharacterized. NCBI's taxonomy places the organism in Eukaryota, Metazoa, Chordata, Actinopteri, Perciformes, Sebastidae. The record is from RefSeq and is a predicted model, not a curated record. The transcript is spliced from 3 exons.